CAUUGUUCACUUUCAUUUUGAAAUAAUGAAAUCCAUAAGUACAUACUUUGCCCAGUACCCACUUACGAUGCUAUCUUACAAUAAUGUACAACUGUAAGUUUCCAAGGUUUUCCCCCACAACUGAGACUACAAGGAUUAAAAAAAAAAAAAAACAAAGAAGUAAAAAAUUUGUAAUUUCACACUACAAUUGAGCUUGGAACUAUAAAGAUUGUUCCCACCUGAAGGCACCUAGCUUUACUGGCCAGUGGCCACUGCCAUCUGCAAGAUUAACACACCUUUGAUGUCAGAAUGGACAGAACCUGUUGAUCACUUGCAGCUAAAAAAAUUCCCCAAAUUAAUGCCGAAUUUCCAAUAGUCUCUUUGCCUAUUUUGCAAAAACUUCCCAUUUUAUCUCCGCCUAGAAGGUUGCUCUGCCGGAGUCAGCUUCCGAAAUGAGGCAUGCAAAAUCAUAACUGCAUAGCUGACACCAAGGGCAUAGAAGAGAGCCAUUUGAACAUUUAAACAAACAAGAAUAACUACAGUAGCACACUGAGCAGUGCGAACCAAAACCUGCCUAAUUGCAGGGUAUAGAUCCAAUCCCCAUCUAUCACUGCAGAACUUGAAAAUAUCCCAAAGUGCCAAACUUGAUAUCAAUCCUAUGAGAGCAACUGGCAUUUGAUACAGAGUACAAGCACAGAAGAGGAUAAAGAGAGAGGCGUAGUUUCUGGCAUAACGCUUAACAUUCUCAUGAACCCGGAGUCUGGCCUGGUCAUUACCGGAAGGGAAGGAGUAGGACCCACACUCGCCGAAAAAAGCGCGGGUCCAGCAGGGGGUUUGACCGGAGAAAUCAUCGGUGGUGAGCUUAGAGAGUGGAUUCAGAGUAAAGAGAGAGAGAAGAGUAAGGAUACGGGAAAACAGAGAAACAAAAAAGCCACCAGUUAUUGAGACAGUGGUAGGAGUGUUAGAGGAGGCGGCGGCCGUGGUGGUGGUGGUGGUUGUGGUAGUGGAGGAGGAGUGGUGGUCGAGGAUUUCGAGGUAGCCGGAGUCGCGGAGCCAUGACUCGAAGGCAGCGUCCGGGACGCUUAGAGCCAGUGGGUUCGUUGAGAAUGCCAUUGCAAAUUGCAAUGGAGCAUUCUAGCCUUGGGAUUCGGCCUAUAUUCCUUCCGUUCAGUAAACAGCCCCUUUUAU
Molecule: unclassified non-coding RNA, 1167 nt
Filed under: Hevea brasiliensis (rubber tree)
Lineage: Eukaryota; Viridiplantae; Streptophyta; Magnoliopsida; Malpighiales; Euphorbiaceae
Source: RNAcentral